Molecule: small RNA, 30 nt
Filed under: Bombyx mori (domestic silkworm)
Lineage: Eukaryota; Metazoa; Arthropoda; Insecta; Lepidoptera; Bombycidae
Description: ovarian small RNA-12245
Source: RNAcentral
AGUAACAUCAAUCCGCUUGGGUUGCGGCGC